UACAGAGGGUGCAAGCGUUAAUCGGAGUUACUGGGCGUAAAGGGCGCGUAGGCGGUUAUAUAAGUUGGAUGUGAAAUCCCUGGGCUUAACCUAGGAACUGCAUCCAAGACUGUAUGACUGGAGUACUGUAGAGGGUAGUGGAAUUUCCGGUGUAGCGGUGAAAUGCGUAGAGAUCGGAAGGAACACCAGUGGCGAAGGCGGCUACCUGGACAGAUACUGACGCUGAGGCGCGAGAGCGUGGGGAGCAAACAGG
This 253-nucleotide ribosomal RNA is filed under the name uncultured bacterium. RNAcentral's name for it is "partial 16S ribosomal RNA". It matches the Rfam family "Bacterial small subunit ribosomal RNA", at positions 524 to 776 of the family's 1533-position model. The record is from RNAcentral.